UACACACACACACACACACACACACACACAGAGUAUAUAUACUGUGUGUGUGUGUGUGUGUGUGUGUGUGUGUAUC
Non-coding RNA from Podarcis lilfordi (Lilford's wall lizard), 76 nucleotides. Lineage: Eukaryota; Metazoa; Chordata; Lepidosauria; Squamata; Lacertidae. The record is from the annotation of a GenBank genome assembly.